This is a long non-coding RNA of Perognathus longimembris pacificus (Pacific pocket mouse), 160 nucleotides long. RefSeq lists it as uncharacterized. The transcript is spliced from 3 exons. The record is from RefSeq and is a predicted model, not a curated record. NCBI's taxonomy places the organism in Eukaryota, Metazoa, Chordata, Mammalia, Rodentia, Heteromyidae.
CUGGUUAAUUGGAGAUAAAAGGGAGGACUGAGAAGGUGGCUUAGUCGUAGAGUGCCUGCCUAGCAUGCAUGAAGCCUUGGGUUUGACUCCUCAGCACCACAUAAACAGAAAAAGCCAGAAGUGGUGCUGGGGCUCAAGUGGUAGAGUGCUAGCCUUGAGC